RNAcentral lists this ribosomal RNA (409 nucleotides) under uncultured bacterium. RNAcentral's name for it is "bacterial SSU rRNA". It matches the Rfam family "Bacterial small subunit ribosomal RNA", at positions 976 to 1381 of the family's 1533-position model. The record is from RNAcentral.
UAGCCUUGACAUUGAUUGAAUUUUCCAGAGAUGGAGAAGUGCCUUUCGGGGAACAUGAAAACAGGUGCUGCACGGCUGUCGUCAGCUCGUGUCGUGAGAUGUUGGGUUAAGUCCCGCAACGAGCGCAACCCUCGUCGUUAGUUGCUAACAGGUUAAGCUGAGCACUCUAGCGAGACUGCCUUCGCAAGGAGGAGGAAGGUGAGGACGACGUCAAGUCAUCAUGGCCCUUAUGGCUAGGGCUACACACGUGCUACAAUGGGGCGUACAGAGAGUUGCGAUACCGCGAGGUGGAGCCAAUCUCAUAAAGCGUCUCUCAGUUCGGAUUGUUCUCUGCAACUCGAGAACAUGAAGCUGGAAUCACUAGUAAUCGUAGAUCAGCAACGCUACGGUGAAUACGUUCCGCGGGUCU